This 505-nucleotide ribosomal RNA is filed under the name uncultured bacterium. RNAcentral describes it as "partial 16S ribosomal RNA". It matches the Rfam family "Bacterial small subunit ribosomal RNA", at positions 28 to 507 of the family's 1533-position model. The record is from RNAcentral.
GACGAACGCUGGCGGCGUGCCUAAUACAUGCAAGUAGAACGCACAGUUUAUACCGUAGCUUGCUACACCAUAGACUGUGAGGUGCGAACGGGUGAGUAACGCGUAGGUAACCUGCCUGGUAGCGGGGGAUAACUAUUGGAAACGAUAGCUAAUACCGCAUAAUAUUAAUUAUUGCAUGAUAAUUAAUUGAAAGGUGCAAUUGCACCACUACCAGAUGGACCUGCGUUGUAUUAGCUAGUAGGUGAGGUAACGGCUCACCUAGGCGACGAUACAUAGCCGACCUGAGAGGGUGAUCGGCCACACUGGGACUGAGACACGGCCCAGACUCCUACGGGAGGCAGCAGUAGGGAAUCUUCGGCAAUGGACGGAAGUCUGACCGAGCAACGCCGCGUGAGUGAAGAAGGUUUUCGGAUCGUAAAGCUCUGUUGUAAGAGAAGAACGGGUGUGAGAGUGGAAAGUUCACACUGUGACGGUAUCUUACCAGAAAGGGACGGCUAACUACGUG